UACGAAGGGGGCUAGCGUUGCUCGGAAUUACUGGGCGUAAAGCGCACGUAGGCGGAUCUUUAAGUCAGAGGUGAAAUCCCAGGGCUCAACCCUGGAACUGCCUUUGAUACUGGAGAUCUUGAGUCCGAGAGAGGUGAGUGGAACUCCGAGUGUAGAGGUGAAAUUCGUAGAUAUUCGGAAGAACACCAGUGGCGAAGGCGGCUCACUGGCUCGGUACUGACGCUGAGGUGCGAAAGCGUGGGGAGCAAACAGG
RNAcentral lists this ribosomal RNA (253 nucleotides) under uncultured bacterium. Its description in RNAcentral is "partial 16S ribosomal RNA". It matches the Rfam family "Bacterial small subunit ribosomal RNA", at positions 524 to 776 of the family's 1533-position model. The record is from RNAcentral.